RNAcentral lists this ribosomal RNA (250 nucleotides) under uncultured Pseudomonas sp. RNAcentral describes it as "partial 16S ribosomal RNA". It matches the Rfam family "Bacterial small subunit ribosomal RNA", at positions 1136 to 1382 of the family's 1533-position model. Lineage: Bacteria; Pseudomonadati; Pseudomonadota; Gammaproteobacteria; Pseudomonadales; Pseudomonadaceae. The record is from RNAcentral.
UCCUAAGGAGGACCUGCCCGGUGGACAAACCGGAGGAAGGUGGGGAGUGACGUCAAGUCAUCAUGGCCCUUACGGCCUGGGCUACACACGUGCUACAAUGGUCGGUACAAAGGGUUGCCAAGCCGCGAGGUGGAGCUAAUCCCAUAAAACCGAUCGUAGUCCGGAUCGCAGUCUGCAACUCGACUGCGUGAAGUCGGAAUCGCUAGUAAUCGUGAAUCAGAAUGUCACGGUGAAUACGUUCCCGGGCCUU